This 253-nucleotide ribosomal RNA is filed under the name uncultured bacterium. Its description in RNAcentral is "partial 16S ribosomal RNA". It matches the Rfam family "Bacterial small subunit ribosomal RNA", at positions 524 to 776 of the family's 1533-position model. The record is from RNAcentral.
UACAGAGGUCUCAAGCGUUGUUCGGAUUCAUUGGGCGUAAAGGGUGCGUAGGUGGCGCCGUAAGUCAGGUGUGAAAUUUCGGAGCUUAACUCCGAAACUGCAUUUGAUACUGCGGUGCUUGAGGACUGGAGAGGAGACUGGAAUUCACGGUGUAGCAGUGAAAUGCGUAGAUAUCGUGAGGAAGACCAGUGGCGAGGGCGGGUCUCUGGACAGUUCCUGACACUGAGGCACGAAGGCCAGGGGAGCAAACGGG